CAAAACAAUUUUGAGUAUGACAGAGGCAAAAAAAUCGAUGUGUUAAGAUCUAAGUUGUGAGAGAAGCGACAUUAUUGCUGCUGUUACUCGCCUAACUAUGCCUUGUCAAGAAAAGUGUCGCCACAUGGUGAUGAAGAGGAAAUUCACGUUCUACCAUUACACACUCUGCUGGCUAAAUCUGCAGAUUCACGCGUCAGCACGCGUCUGUCUGUCUGACGACGACGUUUCUUAACUGUCUAAACCUUUUGAAAGAGCUUAGACACAACUCAAUCAGUUCAGCCGUUGAUGAGAUCUGAAAAUAUCAACAGUGUCAUGUGGUCGCACUCGCGUAAAUGAGGCACGGGACACGGGCUCGCGCAGAGCGCGCGCACUUCGUUGCGCGUAACUUG
This is a long non-coding RNA of Pseudomyrmex gracilis, 389 nucleotides long. RefSeq lists it as uncharacterized. Lineage: Eukaryota; Metazoa; Arthropoda; Insecta; Hymenoptera; Formicidae. The record is from RefSeq and is a predicted model, not a curated record. The transcript is spliced from 3 exons.